This 175-nucleotide non-coding RNA is filed under the name Chloroherpeton thalassium. Lineage: Bacteria; Pseudomonadati; Chlorobiota; Chlorobiia; Chlorobiales; Chloroherpetonaceae. The record is from RNAcentral.
UUCUUGUUCUUUAUUUUUUGCGACGAUAAUCAUCAUCAGGGAAUUCGGUGAGAAUCCGAGACUGUACCCGCAACUGUGAUAACCGUUAAGUCGAAUUGCAAAAAGCCAUUGCGAAAGUGAGAAGGCGCGAUUCGAAGGUUUAAGUCAGGAGACCGGCAAAACUAAAUUAAUCUUA